RNAcentral lists this ribosomal RNA (891 nucleotides) under Blastocystis sp. RNAcentral's name for it is "SSU rRNA". It matches the Rfam family "Eukaryotic small subunit ribosomal RNA", at positions 21 to 933 of the family's 1831-position model. The record is from RNAcentral. Lineage: Eukaryota; Bigyra; Opalinata; Blastocystidae.
AGUCAUACGCUCGUCUCAAAGAUUAAGCCAUGCAUGUGUAAGUAUAAAUAAUUUUACUUUGAAACUGCGAAUGGCUCAUUAUAUCAGUUAUAGUUUAUUAGAAAUACUUUACUACUUGGAUAACCGUAGUAAUUCUAGGGCUAAUACAUGAAUAAAUCCUCAACUUCGGAAGAGGUGUGUUUAUUAGUAUGAAAACCAUAUAUCUUCGGAUAUAAUAGUGAGUAAUAAUAACCUUUCGUAUCGUAUGUCGUAAGAUAACGAUAGUUCUUUCAAGUUUCUGCCCUAUCAGCUUUCGAUGGUAGUAUAUGGGACUACCAUGGCAGUAACGGGUAACGAAGAAUUUGGGUUCGAUUUCGGAGAGGGAGCCUGAGAGAUGGCUACCACAUCCAAGGAAGGCAGCAGGCGCGUAAAUUACCCAAUCCUGACAUAGGGAGGUAGUGACAAUAAAUCACAAUGCGGAACUAUUUAGUUUUGCAAUUGGAUUGAGAACAAUGUACAAAUGUUAUCGAUAAACAAUUGGAGGGCAAGUCUGGUGCCAGCAGCCGCGGUAAUUCCAGCUCCAAUAGCGUAUAUUAACGUUGUUGCAGUUAAAAAGCUCGUAGUUGAAAUGUGGGAUGAAGUAUAUGAUGAAUUUAAUAUUCAAUUAUAUAUUGAUUCCCCUCUCCAAUUUAUUAUUAUGGGUAUUAAUUUAUUUGUAAUAAGAAUUGGUCAUUUACUGUGAGAAAAUUAGAGUGUUCAAAGCAGGCAUUUGCUUGAAUAGAUUAGCAUGGAAUAAUACUAAAAGGCUUUUAUGGUCGAUUUAAUUGGUUUGUUCAUAAAAGCAAGAUUAAAAGGAACAGUUGGGGGUAUUCAUAUUCAAUAGUUAGAGGUGAAAUUCUCGGAUUUAUGGAA